This 502-nucleotide ribosomal RNA is filed under the name uncultured bacterium. RNAcentral's name for it is "bacterial SSU rRNA". It matches the Rfam family "Bacterial small subunit ribosomal RNA", at positions 348 to 861 of the family's 1533-position model. The record is from RNAcentral.
GCAGCAGUGGGGAAUAUUGCACAAUGGGCGAAAGCCUGAUGCAGCGACGCCGCGUGAGGGAUGACGGCCUUCGGGUUGUAAACCUCUUUCAGCAGGGACGAAGCGCAAGUGACGGUACCUGCAGAAGAAGCACCGGCUAACUACGUGCCAGCAGCCGCGGUAAUACGUAGGGUGCAAGCGUUGUCCGGAAUUACUGGGCGUAAAGAGUUCGUAGGCGGUUUGUCGCGUCGUUUGUGAAAACCAGCAGCUCAACUGCUGGCUUGCAGGCGAUACGGGCAGACUUGAGUACUGCAGGGGAGACUGGAAUUCCUGGUGUAGCGGUGAAAUGCGCAGAUAUCAGGAGGAACACCGGUGGCGAAGGCGGGUCUCUGGGCAGUAACUGACGCUGAGGAACGAAAGCGUGGGUAGCGAACAGGAUUAGAUACCCUGGUAGUCCACGCCGUAAACGGUGGGCGCUAGGUGUGGGUUCCUUCCACGGAAUCCGUGCCGUAGCUAACGCAUA